RNAcentral lists this signal recognition particle RNA (299 nucleotides) under Aotus nancymaae (Ma's night monkey). RNAcentral describes it as "Metazoan signal recognition particle RNA (ENSANAG00000009311.1)". It matches the Rfam family "Metazoan signal recognition particle RNA". Rfam says of the family: The signal recognition particle (SRP) is a universally conserved ribonucleoprotein. It is involved in the co-translational targeting of proteins to membranes. The record is from RNAcentral. Lineage: Eukaryota; Metazoa; Chordata; Mammalia; Primates; Aotidae.
GCCGGGCGCAGUGGCGCAUGCCUGUAGUCCCAGCUACUCGGGAGGCUGAGGUGGGAGGAUUGCUUGAGCCCAGGAGUUCUGGGCUGUAGUGCACCAUGCCGAUCAUGUGUCCACACUAAGCUCGGCAUCAAUAUGGUGACCUCCCAGGAGCGGGGGACCACCAGGUUGCCUAAGGAGGCGUGAAGCGGCCCAAGUCGGAAACGGAGCAGGUCAAAACUCCCGUGCUGAUCAGUAGUGGGAUCGCGCCUGUGAAUAGCCACUGCACUCCAGCCUGGGCAACAUAGCGAGACCCUGUCUCU